AGAGUUUGAUCAUGGCUCAGGAUGAACGCUAGCGGCAGGCCUAAUACAUGCAAGUCGAACGGUAAAUAUGCAGCAAUGUAUAUGAGAGUGACGUACGGGUGCGUAACACGUAUGCAACCUACCCUUUACAGGCGGAUAGCUCGGGGAAACUCGGAUUAACCCGUCAUAAUAUAAUUGAAUGGCAUCAUUUGGUUAUUAAAUCUACGGAGGUAAAGGAUGGGCAUGCGUCUGAUUAGUUAGUUGGCGGUGUAACGGACCACCAAGACGAUGAUCAGUAGGGGAACUGAGAGGUUGAUCCCCCACACUGGCACUGAGAUACGGGCCAGACUCCUACGGGAGGCAGCAGUAGGGAAUAUUGGUCAAUGGAUGGAAGUCUGAACCAGCCAUGCCGCGUGCAGGAAGAAGGCCUUCUGGGUUGUAAACUGCUUUUGCCAGGGGCUAAAAAGCCCAUGCGUGGGAAAUUGAAAGUACCUGGUGAAUAAGCCACGGCUAACUACGUGCCAGCAGCCGCGGUAAUACGUAGGUGGCAAGCGUUGUCCGGAUUUAUUGGGUUUAAAGGGUGCGUAGGCGGCUUUGUAAGUCAGUGGUGAAAUAUGGCAGCUCAACUGUCAAGGUGCCAUUGAUACUGCGGAGCUUGAGUACAGAUGAGGUAGGCGGAAUUGACGGUGUAGCGGUGAAAUGCUUAGAUAUCGUCAAGAACACCUAUAGCGAAGGCAGCUUACUAGGCUGUAACUGACGCUGAGGCACGAAAGUGUGGGGAUCAAACAGGAUUAGAUACCCUAGUAGUCC
Molecule: ribosomal RNA, 789 nt
Filed under: uncultured bacterium
Lineage: Bacteria
Description: bacterial SSU rRNA
Rfam family: Bacterial small subunit ribosomal RNA
Source: RNAcentral